GACGAACGCUGGCGGCGUGCCUAAUACAUGCAAGUAGAACGCACAGUUUAUACCGUAGCUUGCUACACCAUAGACUGUGAGUUGCGAACGGGUGAGUAACGCGUAGGUAGCCUGCCUGGUAGCGGGGGAUAACUAUUGGAAACGAUAGCUAAUACCGCAUAAUAUUAAUUAUUGCAUGAUAAUUAAUUGAAAGGUGCAAUUGCACCACUACCAGAUGGACCUGCGUUGUAUUAGCUAGUAGGUGAGGUAACGGCUCACCUAGGCGACGAUACAUAGCCGACCUGAGAGGGUGAUCGGCCACACUGGGACUGAGACACGGCCCAGAAUCCUAAGGGAGGCAGCAGUAGGGAAUCUUCGGGAAUGGAGGAAAGUCUGACCGAGCAACGCCGCGUGAGUGAAGAAGGUUUUCGGAUCGUAAAGCUCUGUUGUAAGAGAAGAACGGGUGUGAGAGUGGAAAGUUCACACUGUGACGGUAUCUUACCAGAAAGGGACGGCUAACUACGUG
Molecule: ribosomal RNA, 505 nt
Filed under: uncultured bacterium
Lineage: Bacteria
Description: partial 16S ribosomal RNA
Rfam family: Bacterial small subunit ribosomal RNA
Source: RNAcentral